This 433-nucleotide ribosomal RNA is filed under the name uncultured bacterium. Its description in RNAcentral is "partial 16S ribosomal RNA". It matches the Rfam family "Bacterial small subunit ribosomal RNA", at positions 29 to 507 of the family's 1533-position model. The record is from RNAcentral.
AACGAACGCUGGCGGCAUGCCUAACACAUGCAAGUCGAACGAGACCUUCGGGUCUAGUUACGCACGGGUGCGUAACGCGUGGUAACCUGCCCUUAGGUUCGGAAUAACUCCCCGAAAGGUGUCCUAAUACCGGUUAAUCUCUUCGGACCAAAGAUUUAUCGCUUUUGGAUGGGCCCGCGUUGGAUUCGCUAGUUGGUAGGGUAAAAGCCUACCAAGGCGACGAUCCAUAGCUGGUCUGAGAGGAGGAUCAGCCACACUGGGAAUGAGACACGGCCCAGACUCCUACGGGAGGGAGCAGUGGGGAAUAUUGGACAAGGGGCGAAAGCCUGAUCCAGCAAUGCCGCGUGAGUGAUGAAGGGCUUAGGGUUGUAAAGCUGUUUUACCCGGGAUGAUAAUGACAGUACCGGGAGAAUAAGCUCCGGCUAACUCCGUG